GGCGUAUUUUGCCCAGGCGGAGCUCGACCGCCCACUGAAGCGAUGAUUUCCUUCAUUGACGAACACCGCUCGGUGCUCGGGGUCGAGCCGAUCUGCAGGCUGCUGCCGAUUGCCCCG
The sequence is a regulatory RNA element, 117 nucleotides long. It matches the Rfam family "ALIL pseudoknot". The record is from Rfam.